AGCUUAGGUAACAAACCCAUGGG
Molecule: transfer RNA, 23 nt
Filed under: Cyrtodactylus condorensis
Lineage: Eukaryota; Metazoa; Chordata; Lepidosauria; Squamata; Gekkonidae
Description: tRNA-Trp
Source: RNAcentral